RNAcentral lists this transfer RNA (72 nucleotides) under Danionella translucida. It matches the Rfam family "tRNA". Rfam says of the family: Transfer RNA (tRNA) molecules are approximately 80 nucleotides in length. Their secondary structure includes four short double-helical elements and three loops (D, anti-codon, and T loops). RNAcentral also lists the same sequence under 1 other name. The record is from Rfam by way of RNAcentral. Lineage: Eukaryota; Metazoa; Chordata; Actinopteri; Cypriniformes; Danionidae.
GGCUCGUUGGUCUAGGGGUAUGAUUCUCGCUAUGAAUGCGAGAGGUCCCAGGUUCAAAUCCUGGAAGAACCC